CCGGCAAUAGCUCAGUUGGUAGAGCGGGAGACUGUAGUGUUAACCUGUAAUCUCUAGGUCGCUAGUUCAAAUCUGGCUUGCCGGA
Non-coding RNA from Geosiphon pyriformis, 85 nucleotides. The record is from the annotation of a GenBank genome assembly. NCBI's taxonomy places the organism in Eukaryota, Fungi, Glomeromycota, Glomeromycetes, Archaeosporales, Geosiphonaceae.